AUUGAACGCUGCGGAAUGCUUUACACAUGCAAGUCGAACGGCAGCACGGACUUCGGUCUGGUGGCGAGUGGCGAACGGGUGAGUAAUGUAUCGGAACGUGCCCAGUCGUGGGGGAUAACGUAGUGAAAAUUACGCUAAUACCGCAUACGAGCUAUGGAUGAAAGCGGGGGAUCGCAAGACCUCGCGCGAUUGGAGCGGCCGAUAUCAGAUGAGGUAGUUGGUGGGGUAAAGGCCCACCAAGGCAACGAUCUGUAGCGGGUAUGAGAGGACGACCAGCCACACUGGAACUGAGACACGAUCCAGACUCCUACGGGAGGCAGCAGUGGGGAAUUUUGGACAAUGGGCGAAAGCCUGAUCCAGCCAUUCCGCGUGCAGGAUGAAGGCCCUCGGGUUGUAAACUGCUUUUGUACAGAACGAAAAGGUUUCUACUAAUACUAGGAGCUCAUGACGGUACUGUAAGAAUAAGCACCGGCUAACUACGUGCCAGCCGCCGCAGUAA
Molecule: ribosomal RNA, 499 nt
Filed under: uncultured bacterium
Lineage: Bacteria
Description: partial 16S ribosomal RNA
Rfam family: Bacterial small subunit ribosomal RNA
Source: RNAcentral